AGGAACUAGAACCUCAGGUUGGUGAACAGUUGCUCCAGCUUUGGGAACGCCUUCCGCUGGGAGAAAAAGCCACAACUGAUUGACACUCAGAACUCUUAGCAGCAAAAAAAAUCAUGCCUGUUUAUAACCACUGAAUGCACUGACUUCCAAAAACAGAGAUGGGUUGUGUGUUAUACUUGGGCUUUUCUGCUUUAGAGUGUUGCUUCAGAACCACCAUCUUCACAAACAAGAAAAAAGGAUCAUUUAAAUUUAUAUACUGAUCAUAAGGAAUGAUUAUGUAAUGUUUGUAAUGAAUACAAUAGUAGUAGUUUCAUUA
Molecule: long non-coding RNA, 316 nt
Organism: Propithecus coquereli (Coquerel's sifaka)
Lineage: Eukaryota; Metazoa; Chordata; Mammalia; Primates; Indriidae
Exons: 2
Source: RefSeq, a predicted model, not a curated record